Molecule: ribosomal RNA, 253 nt
Filed under: uncultured bacterium
Lineage: Bacteria
Description: partial 16S ribosomal RNA
Rfam family: Bacterial small subunit ribosomal RNA
Source: RNAcentral
UACGUAGGUGGCAGGCGUUGUCCGGAUUUAUUGGGCGUAAAGCGAGCGCAGGCGGUUUCUUAAGUCUGAUGUGAAAGCCCCCGGCUCAACCGGGGAGGGUCAUUGGAAACUGGGAAACUUGAGUGCAGAAGAGGAGAGUGGAAUUCCAUGUGUAGCGGUGAAAUGCGUAGAUAUAUGGAGGAACACCAGUGGCGAAGGCGGCUCUCUGGUCUGUAACUGACGCUGAGGCUCGAAAGCGUGGGGAGCAAACAGG